CCAAGGAGUCUAACAUGUGCGCGAGUCACUCGGUCUUGAAUAGGCCAGAGAGGCGCAAUGAAAGUAAAGUUGAUUGAGUUACGAUCCUCAUGCCGGUUAUCCUUAGCGGUAACGGUGAGGCGCAGUAACAGCCCGCCAAUUUCGCUUAUUGACGAUCUGGCGGAGUUGUAGCGUACACGUUGGUACCCGAAAGAUGGUGAACUAUGCCUGGGCAAGACGAAGCCAGAGGAAACUCUGGUGGAGGUCUGUAGCGAUUCUGACGUGCAAAUCGAUCGUCAGACCUGGGUAUAGGGGCGAAAGACUAAUCGAACCAUC
This 315-nucleotide ribosomal RNA is filed under the name Damaeus riparius. Its description in RNAcentral is "eukaryotic LSU rRNA". It matches the Rfam family "Eukaryotic large subunit ribosomal RNA", at positions 666 to 944 of the family's 3401-position model. Lineage: Eukaryota; Metazoa; Arthropoda; Arachnida; Sarcoptiformes; Damaeidae. The record is from RNAcentral.